RNAcentral lists this non-coding RNA (125 nucleotides) under Aneurinibacillus sp. XH2. Its description in RNAcentral is "Glycine riboswitch aptamer". It matches the Rfam family "Glycine riboswitch aptamer". From Rfam's summary of the family: This family represents the bacterial glycine riboswitch. Glycine riboswitches usually consist of two metabolite-binding aptamers domains with similar structures in tandem. The aptamers cooperatively bind glycine to regulate the expression of downstream genes. Lineage: Bacteria; Bacillati; Bacillota; Bacilli; Caryophanales; Paenibacillaceae. RNAcentral also lists the same sequence under 1 other name. The record is from Rfam by way of RNAcentral.
GGACGAAACUCUGGAGAGACCCCCUCCGCUUCCACACUAAUGAAACGGAGGAAAAAGGGCACCGAAGGAGCAAGUCUGCGCCACCGCGCAGAUAAUCUCUCAGGUAAAAGGACAGGGAUUACAAA